This 251-nucleotide ribosomal RNA is filed under the name uncultured bacterium. RNAcentral's name for it is "partial 16S ribosomal RNA". It matches the Rfam family "Bacterial small subunit ribosomal RNA", at positions 525 to 775 of the family's 1533-position model. RNAcentral also lists the same sequence under 1 other name. The record is from RNAcentral.
ACGGGGGGUGCUAGCGUUGUUCGGAAUCAUUGGGCGUAAAGAGCGUGUAGGCGGCUGGAUAAGUCAGAUGUGAAAGCCCUGGGCUUAACCCAGGAAGUGCAUUUGAAACUGUUCAGCUUGAGUAAGGGAGAGGAAAGUGGAAUUCCUGGUGUAGAGGUGAAAUUCGUAGAUAUCAGGAGGAACACCGGUGGCGAAGGCGACUUUCUGGCCCUAUACUGACGCUGAGACGCGAGAGCGUGGGUAGCAAACAG